RNAcentral lists this transfer RNA (132 nucleotides) under Streptococcus pneumoniae 7533-05. RNAcentral's name for it is "partial 23S ribosomal RNA". The stretch from base 64 to 132 matches the Rfam family "tRNA". Rfam says of the family: Transfer RNA (tRNA) molecules are approximately 80 nucleotides in length. Their secondary structure includes four short double-helical elements and three loops (D, anti-codon, and T loops). Further hydrogen bonds mediate the characteristic L-shaped molecular structure. tRNAs have two regions of fundamental functional importance: the anti-codon, which is responsible for specific mRNA codon recognition, and the 3' end, to which the tRNAs corresponding amino acid is attached (by aminoacyl-tRNA synthetases). tRNAs cope with the degeneracy of the genetic code in two manners: having more than one tRNA (with a specific anti-codon) for a particular amino acid; and 'wobble' base-pairing, i.e. permitting non-standard base-pairing at the 3rd anti-codon position. Lineage: Bacteria; Bacillati; Bacillota; Bacilli; Lactobacillales; Streptococcaceae. The record is from RNAcentral.
GAAAAAGUAGUUGACAAAGUUUGAAAAGACUGUAUAAUAGUAAGAGUUGAAAAUAACAACUCAGGUCCGUUGGUCAAGGGGUUAAGACACCGCCUUUUCACGGCGGUAACACGGGUUCGAAUCCCGUACGGA